AGGUGCGGCGGUGGCUAACCAUGCAAGUCGAACGAGAAAGUCCGCAAGGAUGAGUACAGUGGCGCACGGGUGAGUCCUUUAUAGGAAUCUGCCUCUGAGGGGAGAAUACCCUAGAGAACCUUUGGUUAAUACUGCAUAAUCCCAGAAAUGGGGAAAGGUGGCCUCAAGCUGCCGCUGAGAGAUGAGCCUGUGGCCCUUUAGCUAGUUGGUGGGGUAAAAGCCUACCAAGGCGAAGAUGGGUAACCGGCCUAAGAGGGUGUACGGUCACACUGGAACUGAGACACGGUCCAGACUCCUACGGGAGGCAGCAGUGGGGAAUUUUGCACAAUGGGCGAAAGCCUGAUGCAGCGACGCCGCGUGGAGGAUGAAGGUCUUCGGAUUGUAAACUCCUGUUAAGUGGGAAUAGAGAUUCUUACCUAAUACGUAU
RNAcentral lists this ribosomal RNA (427 nucleotides) under uncultured bacterium. RNAcentral's name for it is "bacterial SSU rRNA". It matches the Rfam family "Bacterial small subunit ribosomal RNA", at positions 39 to 468 of the family's 1533-position model. The record is from RNAcentral.